This 330-nucleotide long non-coding RNA is filed under the name Fukomys damarensis (Damara mole-rat). Its description in RNAcentral is "lncRNA (ENSFDAG00000024657.1)". The record is from RNAcentral. Lineage: Eukaryota; Metazoa; Chordata; Mammalia; Rodentia; Bathyergidae.
AGGCACAGGAAGUUGCCUGGAGUGAGUGGGGAGGGGCGCGGGGGCGAGGGGCUGCAGACGCUAAAGCUUCCGCUUAACAAACGUGGAUAGCGCUUCCGCUCAAGCCGUCGCUGCUGGCUUCUUCGUCUCGAUGAGAAGAGCCCAAGGACUAGAAAUCAAGUCAAAAUCAGGGAUUUGAGGAAGAAUUUGGAUCACAGGGUGUGUGGCAACAGAAGAAAGUUGUGAGUUCUAUAGAUACCUCUUCACGUGGCUUGGGUAAGGGAGUCACAUGCCCCUCUUUUUAAGGUAGGAAACACUGACAAAAUGUAGUUUUUGAAAACCCUAAAUACA